This 484-nucleotide ribosomal RNA is filed under the name uncultured bacterium. Its description in RNAcentral is "partial 16S ribosomal RNA". It matches the Rfam family "Bacterial small subunit ribosomal RNA", at positions 30 to 507 of the family's 1533-position model. The record is from RNAcentral.
AUUGAACGCUGGCGGCAGGCCUAACACAUGCAAGUCGAGCGGGUGAAGGGAGCUUGCUCCUGGAUUCAGCGGCGGACGGGUGAGUAAUGCCUAGGAAUCUGCCUGGUAUUGGGGGAUAACGUCCGGAUACGGGCGCUAAUACCGCAUACGUCCUGAGGGAGAAAGUGGGGGAUCUUCGGACCUCACGCUAUCAGAUGAGCCUAGGUCGGAUUAGCUAGUUGGUGGGGUAAAGGCCUACCAAGGCGACGAUCCGUAACUGGUCUGAGAGGAUGAUCAGUCACACUGGAACUGAGACACGGACCAGACUACUGCGGGAGGCAGCAGUGGGGAAUAUUGGACAAUGGGCGAAAGCCUGAUACAGCCAUGCCGCGUGUGUGAAGAAGGUCUUCGGAUUGUAAAGCACUUUAAGUUGGGAGGAAGGGCAGUAAGUUAAUACCUUGCUGUUUUGACGGUACCAACAGAAUAAGCACCGGCUAACUUCGUG